RNAcentral lists this long non-coding RNA (258 nucleotides) under Lathyrus oleraceus (garden pea). RNAcentral's name for it is "Pisum sativum (pea) long non-coding RNA (PSAT_LNC020455)". The record is from RNAcentral. Lineage: Eukaryota; Viridiplantae; Streptophyta; Magnoliopsida; Fabales; Fabaceae.
AUCAGAGGAAGGAGUCUGGGAGGGACGUCCAUCUAAAUAUGAAGCGUCAACAAGCAAGAAGUAUGGUGGUAGCUUCUCCAAAAAUAAGGAAGUAGAAACUAAUGUAGUAUCAGUAGGGAGGCAGAGGAGGCCUCAUGUGAGGAAAAGUUCCCAAUCCCGUCAACAUCAGCACCAUGUAUCAUCAGUAAUUCCAUUUUUUUUACAACAAUUCAACCAAUCAAUCAAUUCCAAUUCAAUAACAACUUCAACAACAACCAC